RNA transcript from Neocloeon triangulifer, 7811 nucleotides. RefSeq lists it as uncharacterized. The record is from RefSeq and is a predicted model, not a curated record. Lineage: Eukaryota; Metazoa; Arthropoda; Insecta; Ephemeroptera; Baetidae. The transcript has 14 exons.
AGGCAGCUGAGAAUUUUUCCCUGACGAUGGCGCCAGCAGACGGAAGACAAUUUGAAUGCAUUAAUGGUGUCCACUGUUCGUUGUACGGAAAAUUUCCACGCGUCAUUUUAAAAUUGAUUGAAUUUGGACAAUUGAUUGUAACGAUGCCUGUUUGAAGAACAUCGUUGCAGUGUGCAUGAGUCGUUUCAAGGCCGGCAGGAGGGGAGUGGCAGAUCCACACGCGCACGAAAUUGGCAAACACAUUUUUGUCAUGUGGUGUGUAGCCAACAAACAACAUUAUUAGAUCAGCAAAUUCAUCCUUAGAACAAAUUCUUUCAACGCAAAACAUGGAGCGUGACGCCCCGCUGGCCUGACGACGACCCACCCCUCCGUAACGCCUCACCCCACGAGAGAUGGGCGCUUUCCUGACCAGGCUUUCCCCCUGUCCACUCUGCAUAAGAAGAGAUAACAUACAGGGUCACCAGAUGGCAGCUGGGGAAGUUGUUGCCACCGGAAUUUCAAAUUUAAGUUUAGAUGCCGGACCUGCAGAUGCAAAUCUAGGAUUUUUUGGAGAAGAUGGAAGUGAAAAAGCUGCCACUGUUUUUGUAUUAGUCGUGCAUUACCCUAAAGGAAAUGAGACUGGAACUGAUAACGACGUUAAGAAACUGAAGGAAACAUUCUCAAUGAGUCGGAAAUGCCGAUUCUUUGCGUUUUCACCACUAAGGGAUGAACUUCUGGAAUAUCUUGCUAGUGAAAAUAAAUUGAAGAAUAGUUUCAGAUCCAGUUUAGAUCCAGACAUUUUUAUAAUCGUGUUUUUGGCACAUGGUGAAAAGGGUGGAAAAAUUCAAACAUCAGAUGGUGAAUUUACUACAGCGGAGAUAUAUCAGAAACUGGAAAAGACGUUUCCUCAGUGCCUGAAACUUCUGUUCCUUGGGCCCUGCCGGGGGGAUGCAGAAGAAAAUUGUUAUCAGACUGAUCACCAAGAUACUAAUAAAUUCAUGAGGCAAAUCACGGACGGAAAUGAAAAUAUGUUUAAGGUUUCCUUGGAUCCAAAAAUACACAAUAUGGUCGUCUUUUAUGCGACAAUGGAAGGAUACGCAUCUCACGGUCAUUUGGAUGGAACAUGGAUGGUUAGGAGUCUCUGCGAGGUACUUGAUGAGAUGAGAGAAAACCUAAGCCUUUUAGACUUCCUCACACGUGUCUUAAUUAAAAUUAACAAUAUCCAACACGGUGAAUGUUUUAAGCAGACGCCAAAAUUCAAAAUCAGCACGCUGGGGAAAAAAUUUACGUUCAUCCCUAACAAAACGAAUCAGGAUGCUGAACCAACUCCAGCAACUGUAGCUGAAACCAGCUCAAGUAGCUCACCCCAUGGAAAUGGAUAUUUGUUUGAAAAAUCCAAUAGUUGGAAGAACAAAGAUGGCAAACUACCACGAAAACGUGCGUUAAUUUGCUGCCAUAACCAAGAAUUUCUGAAACUUCGAGAAAAGUUUUACAAUUAUGGCUUCGACGAUGUUCGUACACACGAUAUCCACUCAGAAAAUGAAUAUUUGAAGCUCUUAGAGCCUUUAGAUCUUACUGAUGGCUACGGAUGUCUCGCAGUUUUUAUUUAUGCUCAAAUUUCUGAUGAUGGAAUUUACAUUGAUGGAAAACCAGAGAAAACGCCAAUUCACGAGUGGAUUCAGAAAUUUCUCAGCAUACAUUCUGAAAUUUGGAAAGGGCGUCCAAUACUAUUAUUCUUCAUUAACAAUACGUUCGUAACAACACAGGGGAUAAACGUAACUCCAAAAUCAUCAGACUCUUCUAAAGUGACACAGCAUACUAAGCAAAGCAAUUGGCUAGCGUUAGUCAUCAAAGAUGCUAAUAAAGGAGAUAUUCUUUUACAAAUGUUCGCCAGAGUGGAUGGCAGAAGCUUGCAGGAAUACCUUGGAGAUCUACUCAUUGUUGACACUCCGGAGGAAACCCUCCAGAUCACGUUGAUUUCAACUUUGCAGGAACACUUUCACUUUCCUCCCAGGAGGCGUUAUGUCCAUCCAAAGUUCUCGGUGCAAUGUGGGCAAGAUCUGAAAGAAAAGAAAGAUUUACAAUCAUUAACACAACAUAUAAGUGAAUAUGAAUAUCGAUUCAUUGUGAUAUCUGCGCUUGCUGGAUCAGGAAAAACAGAAUUAUUGAACCAGUUAAAAAUUGAAUUCCGAUCCAACGAAGUGCUUGAAAUCCCGUUUACGUCGGUGAUAAAAAGUGAUAGUAAGUCACCACCGUUUAAAAGUUUUACGGACAUUUUUGAACAAAAGAUGAACAAAAAAAAAGGUGAUACUGGCGAUUCAAUUUUUGGAGAAUCAUUAUUACUGUUUGAUGGGUUUCAUGAAUUGACCAAAAUUAAAAGGGGGAAAAUACAACAAUUUUUCAAAACAGCAAUGAGUGAAACAAAAAUACCCAAAAUAUUUAUUUCAAUCCGGCCACAGGAUGAAAAAUAUUUCAAAGAUCUUAACAAUGCUGUCUAUAUUAAGAUACUGCCAUUCGAUGAAAUACGGCAAAAAUACCUUUUGGAUUUACAUAUAGAGGGGAAAAUAGACUGUCAAGAUGAGCACAAAACAAUUGUUCGAAAUGUUUUUCGAAAGCUGGUUGAUCAAAAAUUUAGUGAUGUUUUAAGCAAUCCUCGAAAUUUGACAUUACUAAUUGAUGUAAUAUAUGAUAACAAAGACGCAUUUCAUUCUGAUCAUUUAAAUAUUCAUAGCAUAUCAAAAUUGCUGUUGGAUAAAAAUUUAAAUGGAUUAGAGAAAAAAAUUGAUGAACUUGAAAUACGUCUAUUAAAUAAUCAUUACCUCAAGAAGAACGCUGCUGAUGAUGAUGAGAGCCUUGAUUAUCUUGCAGAAAUAUAUUUCCACACCAAAAUGUUCCGCUUAUAUCUUGCUGUUGAAGCAAUAUAUGGCACCCUAAUUAGUGAAGAAAAAACUGAUAAACUUGUUACAGAUUUCAAAAAAGCACUUCUUGAGAGUGAAGAUGUGAAUGUUUACAUCGAAUUAUUUAAUUAUCUCAAACAAGAUUGCAAUACACUAAUUGCAGAAGGUGACUUAAUCAAAAGAAUUAAAGAUGUUACGCUUAAACUAAAUAAUGCACUUCCAGAAACUGAAGACAAGUACAAAUAUUUAAAAAUAGAACUAAAGUCGUUUUAGAAACAUGCACUAAGAGAAAUUCCUACUUUUUUCAUGAGUUAGAUUAGCCUCACUCAGUUCAAGAUUUAUGUUCUUUUUACUAUGCAGCAGUAAGUUGGAAUUUGUUAGACUAUUACUCGUUGAAUUUCACCUAGCAUUUAGAUUUUUUUAUUUUAAAUUUAGAUUAUUUUUGUCAAUAACUAAUUCUAAGUCACAUAGAAUAAAUUUUUGAAUACAAUGUGGUGAAAAUUUGACUUACAUAUCAGUAAUUUGGAACGCCUAAUGAAGCACUUCUGAUCAUCCGAAUUUCAAGCUGAAGAGAUCAAGUGUAAACAAUUGGCACGGCAAGCUUACCCUUACCUGAUGAACUCAAUACAAAUUCAUGGUAAUUUGAAUUUAAAAUCGGCUUUUCCUCCAUUGUUUUUGAGAGUUGUUUAUUGUUUCAGAAAAACAAUAUCCUGCUCUACAUGUUUCGGCUGCGGGCUGCAUAUUGUUUUUCUGAAACAAUAAAAAAAACUCAAAAAAGCCCAUUGAGGAAAAGCAGAUUUUAAAUUCAAAUUACCAUGAAUUUGUAUUGAGUUCAUCAGGUAAGGGUAAGCUUGCCGUGCCAAUUGGAUACUUGAUCUCUUCGGCUUUUAAUGAUUUGACGAUGUUUAGUGGCAAGUAGGCUUUGUUUAAUUAAUUUAAACUCGCUCUUUUCUGUUGCUUUUACCUGCUUGAAAGAGCUACUUUUUACUUGGCAAUACGCAGUAAAAAAAAUUACUGUGUAACAACGCAAACAGUUCGGCAGGGUAUCUCCGCGUUUCAUUUUACAUACCUGUGCUGGGUGAAAUUCAUCCUUUUGGUCAAACAAGAAUCAUUCAAGCUGGCCGCUCAGCUAGCGCACACGUUUAACAGUGGAAAUGAGUAGAUUCUACUGAGUGAAAGAGAUGGAUUCUCUAACUGAGCUGUGAAUUUAGCCACUCGGUAAUAAAAACAUUGUGCGUGGUUUGAAAUUUAAAAAAAUCGGUAGAAUUAAUUGAAUUACAAUUAAUGGUACUCUAACUGAGCCAAUUCUGUAUUUAUUUUUCUGAAUGAUGGGUGUAAAUUUGACGUGACCCUCCCUUGGGCCGGCCAUUGACCUCGCCUGACCUGGCCGACUGCUCGGCCGAGAGAGUCUGACCGCCGCAGAUUUGCAUCGCGAGCGCUGCGUAAUUUUAUUAAAGGCCAUUUCAAAUUUAAAUCAAAAUAAUUUAGAGAGUCCAUUCCCGCCGAACAUUUGUAAAAGCCGCGUUUAACUGAAAAACUCAAUCUCAAAAAGUUCUCGAGCGCGCCUACUUCCGCGGCGCCACUGACUUCCGCGUCCCUACCUAGCGUGCCCAACGGACAAGUCAGACAGCCUGGGGGACUCAAGCCGUUCAGACCUUUAUCACUUUUGCUUUAAAAACGCCAUAUUGUUCAACCACACUAGCAACACAACUCCGGUAAAUUCUCAAUCUGCCCCAAAUAACCCCCUUUUAAAAGACUCUCUCAUUUUAACUAAGUAAUUUUAAUUGACCUGGCCUAAUUAUUAGAAGAUAUUUAAAUAUAAUUAGUAAUUAUAAACGUGUAAUUUGUUAGAUUUAAGAAAAUAUAACCUUAUCACUUAUUAUUAAAUUUAAACCCUUUGUGUAGUAAUUGAAGUUAAACAACCCAGAUUAAUUAAGAAAUAGAGUAAAUUAAAAUAAGAGAAUUAACUUGACUUAAUUAAGAGAGAUUUAAAAUAAAAUAAGUGACUUUGGCCCACACGUGUCCCCACGUGUUGAGAUUAAGAUCUUAAAUUAAAGCCUAGUAUAAUCUCAGAUUAAAGCUAAACUUAAAGGUAAAUUAAGAGAAAUUAACAGGGAUUAAUGAUCAGCUGAAGGAAAUAGGCAUUAAAGCAAAACUCAGACUAGUCAAACUUAAAAGUUAACUUGAGAGAUAAGCAAAUGAAGAUAAAAGGCCAAUUAUUCCCCGAAACCCAAUAGUAAGCCGAAACUUAAUUAAAUUUAACCCCAAAUGAGUUCUAUCCCGGGCCAGUCACCAGCUCUGGUUAAAUUUUGAUGCGCUCGGAUGGAACUUGCUGAUUAAUUCAAGAGUGUCGUGUGGUUACACGACAAAAUUCUUACAGGUCUCUCAAGAGACAGACUUCCAAGCAGCGAUAGUCAAGUAUGCGCGCGGAAAUGUAGCUUUUAUGCAAACUUGAGUACCAAUUUGUUUGAAGAAAUUGACACUGGAGGAGAUUAUCAUGGGAAUGAAUAGAUUGGGCUUCUUCCUCGUUGCGAAAAUUGUUGUAUUAAAAAACAAAUGGCCAACUUAUUCACUGAUUAUAAAUCGUUAUAAUUCUAGCGAAAAAACAUUGCAUUGCAGAAAUUAUUUCCCGUGGAUUAUCUAAAGAUUAAGAAACAUAAAAUAGCGAUGUAUGAAUAUGUAGGGAGACUUUUGCAACUUUCAAUUACCCGUGCGAAGCAACUGUUUGUGAUCAGAAAUUUGCUGUGAUGUCUUCGUGCAUCGUGCAUAGAAGUUUAUAUUCGUCAAUAUGGGAGUGCAUAUGAUUUUGAACAACUUGAAAUACACAAAAUCGAUCUCUGUAUUUUUAAAGAAGUUAUGAGAGUUUCCAAAUAUACCAAAGUUGCAUACAUGCGUUGAUGAAAAUUUGCUCGUUUCAUAUCAAAAGGAUAAAUACGAUCUCCCGGAAAGUGGAAACUAUUCGUUGAGAGCUAUAAAUAUAAUCUGUACAUAAAAGUGUGUUUAAUGUCAACUUAAAUGAUACGCCAGCGAUGCAAAAUGAUGUGUGUGGAAACAUCCCUGUGCAAAAAUCUUGUGCGCCAGCAAAUUUUAGCCAAUCUUUUUUUGCGACAGUGUUAAUUUAGCUUACGGCCAAUUUUUGCGCGGACCUCUCUGCAGGCCUGGCGUUUUAGUAAUUUGUUUGCCCAGUGGUGCUGUCGUUUCUUCACAUAUUGUAAAUUUUUCUCUUCAGACUUGAUUUAGGAAGAAUUUAACAACAAUGACAACAACCACUUAUUGUUAAAUUUGCUAAUUUUGUAAAUAAAAAUAUAGUGAAAAUAAACACGUCAUGGCAAUUUUCAUUCACCUUAAAAAGGUCUUUGAUGUUCUUUUUUUGUAUAACAAAAAAAGCAAAAUUAAAGCAUAAUUUUUUAUGGUGAUAGCCCUUUCCUCCAACCGCAAAUAAGUUUUCUUUCUAAGCAUAUGCAUUAUUUUUGUCUGUGAUCAUCAUGAGUUGCCGUUGAUGACAAUGUCAUUUUAUUUUUCCCACGAAAAUAUGCUUUCAGUCUUGGUUUAAUAUUAUAACCGAAUUCUGUCAUGAUAAUGGGUUUUAUGAUAAAUGAGAAAUUCCAGGAGAGAAACUCCUCCUAACUUUAAUUUAAAGCCAAUAAGGAGAUGAACUUAAAGCUAGAAAUAUGUCACGUGACAUAUAAUUUAUAUGAAACAAAAUAAGCCAGUAUAGGGCGCAUGGUUUUUCGGGGGUGCGGCGAAUGGGACGGUCUUCUCUCUUCUUACUUGCUGAGCGGAAAGCGCGCGCAUGAGUAUAAUGGAAUGAAAUAUAAAACUGCCUUUCAAUAUAUAAUUUUAAAUUUAACAAAAAAUUAUACAAAAAUCCUUAACACUAAUAAAAUAUCAAUAUCUGACCUUCCCCUACCGCAACCUAAUCCACAUCCUUUCUUAACAUUUUCCCUUUUUUUUUUUUUUACAGCUUUGUUUGUCAUCAUAGCGUGGACCCAAAAUAAGGAUAUGCCAGCAAAAAAUGAUAAUUUUUUAAUAAAGUUGAACCCAAAAAUAAAAAAAAAAUAAAGAAAUUAAUUGGGUGGUGCCUUCUGUACCACCAAUAAAGGGCACAGGUCGACAAGACUUUGUCUUGACCUGACCUAAAAAAAUCUCAAUUUAGCAUGACAAAUUAUAUAAGAUAAAAUGAAAUAUAAAUCUAAAGAUAUAAAAUAAUUCUUAUAAUUAAAUCGAUCGAUAAAAAAUCUUAUUAUUAGAAAUCUCAAAAAUAGUCCCUUCAAGAUUCACAAAAGUGCCCAAAAUCUUGCUAGAAAACCAAUGCCAAAUAUAAAAUAUCUGGAAAAUUGGAGAAAUUUCUUCUAAAAUUAUUCAGUUUGCGCUUUAUUUUCGUAAGAUUGCUAAAUUUUAAUGCUUCGUAUUUUUAUUUUAAUGUGACUAGGUUGCCUUGUGUGGGAACAUGUAGACUUUUUGAAAAGUUCAUAAUCCGUAUAAAACCUUAGACUUUCUUACAUAUUAAUGACUUAUCGUUUUCACCCAAUUUCCUUGUUAGCCUCACCGUAGCUACACAAAAACUUAGCAUUUGUCAAGCAUAAAGAAAACUCGAUGGCUGCGGUUUCCACUUAAUGCUGACCUGCACAGGUGGCGUCGGUGCCGCUCUCUUCUACCUGCCUCAGGUCGCAUCAAUAUUUCGAGGUCAAUCUCUUGUGGCCUCAAAUGCAAAAACCAUUUUGCGCACAGCAACACACGCAGUCGGAGCUCGGAGCCAGACCUUAUUCGAAGUUGUCCUGAGAGAACUUGUAGACUUUGCGAAAAGUCCCAUCUAAAAGCUUGGACUUUUCUUGUCAUUUUAAUUUCCUUGUCAGCCUCACCGUAGCUUUCACACACACUCGGCAUUUUUCAAGCAAGAAGAAAUCUCUAUGGCUGCAUGCGGUUUCAACUUCA